UUUUUUUGUAAAAGAGUUUUUAUAUAAUUUUUAAAUCCAUAAAUAAGACAAAACAAAGUAGGUUAGCAAAAAUAAUAUCAUAGGUAUUUUUAACUAAAAUUAAAGAGUAUCUUACAGAAAAAAUCACUAAAAAUACCUUUGAUUGAUACUUGUUCAAGACUUACUAUGAACCAAGAUUGAAACCGAAGGCACAAAACCAUACACCUAUGGCAAAUAUGGGGAUCUUUUGUUAAUCAAAGCGCAAAGUUAGAAUGCAAAAUUGACAAGGUUUCUUUUAGUGUUGGUUUUAAGGAAAUAAUGAAUUUGUGAGAGCUUUGCAAAGUCAAGGUUGUUUUGGAUGACUUUGUUUUUUUAAAAAUAAAAAUGAGAUAAUAUUUUUAUAAAUUAUAAGAGUUUUUUAGCAAAUCUAUAGGUGAAUUUUUAUUAUUUUUGUAAAAAUAUUUAUAUUGGAUGUGUGUUUUAAAAU
Molecule: long non-coding RNA, 466 nt
Filed under: Physcomitrium patens
Lineage: Eukaryota; Viridiplantae; Streptophyta; Bryopsida; Funariales; Funariaceae
Description: long non-coding RNA (PPAT_LNC014012)
Source: RNAcentral